GACGAACGCUGGCGGCGUGCUUAACACAUGCAAGUCGAACGGAAAGGCCCUGCUUUUGUGGGGUUCUCGAUGGCCGAACGGGGGAGUAACACGUGAGUAACCGGCCCUUGACUUUGGGAUAACUUCAGGAAACUGGGGCUAAGCCCGGAUAGGAGCUCCUGCUCCAUGGUGGGGGUUGGAAAGUUUCGGCGGGAGGGGAUGGACUCGCGGCUUAUCGGCUUGUUGGUGGGGUAGUGGCUUACCAAGGCUUGGACGGGUAGCCGGCCUGAGAGGGUGACCGGCCACAAUGGGCCUGAGGGACGGCCCAGAGUCGUACGGGAGGCAGUAGGGGGGAAUAUUGCCCAAUGGGCGGAAGCGUGAUGCAGAAACGCCGCGUGCGGGAAGACGGCCUUCGGGGUGAAAACAGCUGUCGCUUGAGACGAAGCGGGAGUGACGGUAAUGGGUAAAGAAGCACCGGCUAACUACGUG
RNAcentral lists this ribosomal RNA (468 nucleotides) under uncultured bacterium. Its description in RNAcentral is "partial 16S ribosomal RNA". It matches the Rfam family "Bacterial small subunit ribosomal RNA", at positions 28 to 507 of the family's 1533-position model. The record is from RNAcentral.